GAAGUAGAAGGUUCAAUCGGCCCAAUAUUUUGUUCCAUAACUUGAUACAAGUUAUAUGAACUCCUAGCUGUAGAUACUAUGCUAGCACAACAAGUUUCAACUGAUGGCUUUUCAUGAAGUCCAAUUUCUAAAUUGUUGUAUAAUUUUCUAACCAACAUCACUGUACCAUGUUCUUUAUAAAAUGGGUUUAAUAAAUUAGUUGUUAAAAGAAUUUGUGGAAUAGGAAAAUAAUAUUUUUAAAAUUUUUCAAUCAUAGCUUCAAUU
RNAcentral lists this long non-coding RNA (264 nucleotides) under Capsicum annuum. Its description in RNAcentral is "long non-coding RNA (CANN_LNC017292)". The record is from RNAcentral. Lineage: Eukaryota; Viridiplantae; Streptophyta; Magnoliopsida; Solanales; Solanaceae.